This 253-nucleotide ribosomal RNA is filed under the name uncultured bacterium. RNAcentral describes it as "partial 16S ribosomal RNA". It matches the Rfam family "Bacterial small subunit ribosomal RNA", at positions 524 to 776 of the family's 1533-position model. The record is from RNAcentral.
UACGUAGGGGCCGAGCGUUGUCCGGAUUUAUUGGGCGUAAAGCGCGCGCAGGCGGCUUGACGCGCCCGACGUGAAAGCCCCCGGCUUAACCGGGGAGGGUCGUCGGGUACGGUCAGGCUUGAGGGCGGGAGAGGGUGGUGGAAUUCCCGGUGUAGUGGUGAAAUGCGUAGAGAUCGGGAGGAACACCAGUGGCGAAGGCGGCGACCUGGGCCAAUAUUGACGCUGAGGUGCGAAAGCGUGGGGAGCAAACAGG